This 503-nucleotide ribosomal RNA is filed under the name uncultured bacterium. Its description in RNAcentral is "partial 16S ribosomal RNA". It matches the Rfam family "Bacterial small subunit ribosomal RNA", at positions 30 to 523 of the family's 1533-position model. The record is from RNAcentral.
AUUGAGCGCUGGCGGCAGGCUUAACACAUGCAAGUCGAGCGGAGUGAUGGUGCUUGCACUAUCACUUAGCGGCGGACGGGUGAGUAAUGCUUAGGAAUCUGCCUAUUAGUGGGGGACAACAUCUCGAAAGGGAUGCUAAUACCGCAUACGUCCUACGGGAGAAAGCAGGGGAUCACUUGUGACCUUGCGCUAAUAGAUGAGCCUAAGUCGGAUUAGCUAGUUGGUGGGGUAAAGGCCUACCAAGGCGACGAUCUGUAGCGGGUCUGAGAGGAUGAUCCGCCACACUGGGACUGAGACACGGCCCAGACUCCUACGGGAGGCAGCAGUGGGGAAUAUUGGAGAAUGGGGGGAACCCUGAUCCAGCCAUGCCGCGUGUGUGAAGAAGGCCUUAUGGUUGUAAAGCACUUUAAGCGAGGAGGAGGCUCUUUUGGUUAAUACCCAAGAUGAGUGGACGUUACUCGCAGAAUAAGCACCGGCUAACUCUGUGCCAGCCGCCGCAGUAA